RNA transcript from Sapajus apella (tufted capuchin), 1298 nucleotides. It is a transcript of the gene named HLA class I histocompatibility antigen, alpha chain G-like, with no coding region annotated. The transcript is spliced from 4 exons. NCBI's taxonomy places the organism in Eukaryota, Metazoa, Chordata, Mammalia, Primates, Cebidae. The record is from RefSeq and is a predicted model, not a curated record.
UACCCACCUGGACUCAGAUUUUCCCCAGGCACGGAGACUGGGGUCAUGGCGCCUCGAACCCUCCUCCUGCUGCUCUUGGGGACCCUGGCCCUGACUGAGACCUGGGCGGGCUCUCACUCUUUGAGGUAUUUCGGCACUGCCUCGUCCCGGCCGGGCCACAGGGAGACCCGCUUCAUCGCCGUGGGCUACGUGGACGACACGCAGUUCGUGGGGUUUGACAGCGACGCCGCAAGUCCGAGGAUGGAGCCGCGGGCGCCGUGGGUGGAGCAGGAGGGGCCGGAGUAUUGGGACCGGGAGACGCGGAGAGCCAUGGCCAAGGCACUGACUUUCCGAGUGGGCCUGCAGACCCUGCGCGGCUACUACAACCAGAGCAAGGCGGGUGAGUGACACCCGCGCGGAGCGCAGGUCACGACCCCUCCCACCCCCCACAGACAACCCGGGUCCCCCCACCGCCCCGAGUUUCCGGGUAGAGAUCCACCCCGAGGCUGCGGGACUCGCCCAGACCCUCCACCGCGGAGAGCCCCAGGCGCCUUUACCAGGUUUCAUUUUCAGUUUAGGCCAAAAUGCCCGAGGGUUGGUCCUGGCGGGGCGGCGCUGGAUGGGUCCGGCUGACCUCGGGGACCCGGCCAGGGUCUCACAACCUCCAGGGAAUGAUUGGCUGCGAUGUGGGGCCAAAUGGGAGCUUCCUCCGCGGGUAUCUCCAGUUCGCCUAUGACGGCAAGGAUUACAUCUCCAUGAACGAGGACCUGCGCUCCUGGACCGCCGCGGACCCGGUGGCUGAGAUCACCCAGGGCAAGUUGGAGGCGGCCAACGUGGCGGAGCAAUCGAGAGCUUACCUGAAGGGCGAGUGCGUGGAGUGGCUCCUCAGAUACCUGGAGAACGGGAAGGAGAGGCUGCAGCGCGCGGAGCCCCCAAAGACACACGUGACCCACCACCCCAUCUCUGACCAUGAGGCCACCCUGAGGUGCUGGGCCCUGGGCUUCUACCCUGCGGAGAUCACACUGACCUGGCAGCGGGAUGGGGAGGACCAAACUCAGGACACGGAGCUUGUGGAGACGAGGCCAGCAGGGGAUGGAACCUUCCAGAAAUGGGCAGCUGUGGUGGUGCCUUCUGGAGAAGAGCAGAGAUACACUUGUCAUGUGCAGCACGAGGGACUGCUGGAGCCCCCGACCCUGAGAUGGGAGCCAUAUUCCCAGUUCACCAUCCUCACUAUGGACACCGUUGCCUGCCUGGCCAUCCUGGGAGCUGUGGUCAUCGGAGCUGUGGUCGCUGAUGUGAUGUGAAGGAGGUUGAGCUCA